RNAcentral lists this ribosomal RNA (459 nucleotides) under uncultured bacterium. RNAcentral's name for it is "partial 16S ribosomal RNA". It matches the Rfam family "Bacterial small subunit ribosomal RNA", at positions 338 to 795 of the family's 1533-position model. The record is from RNAcentral.
CCUACGGGUGGCAGCAGUGAGGAAUAUUGGUCAAUGGACGAGAGUCUGAACCAGCCAAGUAGCGUGAAGGAUGACUGCCCUAUGGGUUGUAAACUUCUUUUAUAUGGAAUUAAAUGUUCCACGUGUGGGAUUUUGUUUGUUCCCUAUGAAUUAGGAUCGGCUAAAUCCGUGCCAGCAGCCGCGGUAAUACGGAGGAUCCGAGCGUUAUCCGGAUUGAUUGGGUUUAAAGGGAGCGUAGGUGGAUUGGUAAGUCAGUUGUGAAAGUUUGCGGCUCAACCGUAAAAUUGCAGUUGAAACUGGCAGUCUUGAGUACAGUAGAGGUGGGCGGAAUGCGUGGUGUAGCGGUGAAAUGCUUAGAUAUCACGAAGAACUCCGAUUGCGAAGGCAGUUCACUGGACUGCAACUGACACUGAGGCUCGAAAGUGUGGGUAUCAAACAGGAUUAGAUACCCCGGUAGUC